GUAGAGGUAUCAAGGCGAGCCACCAGGUGUAUCGUGACAUACUGAAGGGUGUGCAAAACAUAAUGGUACCGAGAAACAUGUUAAGGAAAUGGGCGCUCGCCACUUUUCAAUCGGCCACGGACUAUUGGCAGUUUCGGAAGAUGUUUACCCUACAGUUGUCGUUGGCCUGUUUCGCGGAGUAUGUUUUACAUUUGACCCGCCUUAAUCCCGACAUGAUGUACAUGCAUCAGGAUUCUGGUCUUGUGAAUAUUUCGUAUUUUAAGUUUGACGUCGACGAUAGUACAGGUGAGAGUUAGCCACGCCCACUUGUAACAGUUGGACAAAAAUUAGUGCGCGAAAAUACAAAAACAAAAAUCAUUUGUUUGCGUACAGAUAAGGAGGUUGGCAUUUCUUUGCU
Long non-coding RNA from Photinus pyralis (common eastern firefly), 397 nucleotides. RefSeq lists it as uncharacterized. The record is from RefSeq and is a predicted model, not a curated record. NCBI's taxonomy places the organism in Eukaryota, Metazoa, Arthropoda, Insecta, Coleoptera, Lampyridae. The transcript has 2 exons.